GAGGGCUUGACACGGCGCCUCCCACCACCACAUCCUCCUGCGCCGCUGCCUUCCACCGCAUUCGCUCGCGUCGCCGCCUCCUCUCGCUGUAGACACCGCCGCCGCCUCACAUCGGAUCUGCCGGAGCAGCCACUUGUAGACGCAUCCGCGGCCGCCACUGACUUUCCCGGCGCCGCCUUCCUUCCUCCCAGUGCAGACAUCAGGGUUGAUAUACAUGAGAUUGGGUGCUUUUGUGAGGGACUUCUGUUUGCUGCACCAAGAAUGUUAUUGUGAUGUACCUGAGAAAUGUGCUGUUAAUUGAGGAACUUUACAAGUAGAUAUUAAUGAUUUAGCUUCAAUUUAUGUAAUUUAAUCCCUGCUACUUAUUACUGUAAUAGAGGUCUACAUGUGUGAAUCUAUAAUCUUAGUGUGCACUUAUAUUCUAAUAUGAAUUGACAUUUUUUUCUAGACUUUGUAAUAAUCAUGACAUAAAUUGUAC
Molecule: long non-coding RNA, 478 nt
Filed under: Oryza sativa Indica Group (long-grained rice)
Lineage: Eukaryota; Viridiplantae; Streptophyta; Magnoliopsida; Poales; Poaceae
Description: lncRNA OsIR64_12g0011920
Source: RNAcentral